ACAUCCAGCGAAUUCGGUAGAGAUACCUUAGUGCCUUCGGGAACGCUGAGACAGGUGCUGCAUGGCUGUCGUCAGCUCGUGUUGUGAAAUGUUGGGUUAAGUCCCGCAACGAGCGCAACCCUUAUCCUUUGUUGCCAGCGGUCCGGCCGGGAACUCAAAGGAGACUGCCAGUGAUAAACUGGAGGAAGGUGGGGAUGACGUCAAGUCAUCAUGGCCCUUACGAGUAGGGCUACACACGUGCUACAAUGGCGCAUACAAAGAGAAGCGACCUCGCGAGAGCAAGCGGACCUCAUAAAGUGCGUCGUAGUCCGGAUUGGAGUCUGCAACUCGACUCCAUGAAGUCGGAAUCGCUAGUAAUCGUAGAUCAGAAUGCUACGGUGAAUACGUUCCCGGGCCUUGUACACACCGCCCGUCACACCAUGGGAGUGGGUUGCAAAAGAAGUAGGUAGCUUAACCUUCGGGAGGGCGCUUACCACUUUGUGAUUCAUGACUGGGGUGAAGUCGUAACAAGGUAAGCGUAGUGCU
This 525-nucleotide ribosomal RNA is filed under the name uncultured bacterium. RNAcentral describes it as "bacterial SSU rRNA". It matches the Rfam family "Bacterial small subunit ribosomal RNA", at positions 984 to 1509 of the family's 1533-position model. The record is from RNAcentral.